Molecule: ribosomal RNA, 254 nt
Filed under: uncultured bacterium
Lineage: Bacteria
Description: partial 16S ribosomal RNA
Rfam family: Bacterial small subunit ribosomal RNA
Source: RNAcentral
UACGUAGGGUGCAGGCGUUAAUCGGAAUUACUGGGCGUAAAGCGUGCGCAGGCGGUUUGCUAAGACAGGUGUGAAAUCCCCGGGCUUAACCUGGGAACUGCGCUUGUUACUGGCAGGCUUGAGUGUGGCAGAGGGGGGUGGAAUUCCAGGUGUAGCAGUGAAAUGCGUAGAAUAUUGGGAAGAACACCAGUGGCGAAAGCGGACUUCUGGGUUGUUACUGACGCUGAGGUACGAAAGCGUGGGGAGCAAACGGG